CUGCGUGAAGCUGGAAUCGCUAGUAAUCGCGGAUCAGCAUGCCGCGGUGAAUACGUUCCCGGGCCUUGUACACACCGCCCGUCACACCACGAGAGUUUGUAACACCCGAAGUCGGUGAGGUAACCUUUUGGAGCCAGCCGCCGAAGGUGGGACAGAUGAUUGGGGUGAAGUCGUAACAAGGUAGCCGUAUCGGAAGGUGCGGCUGGAUCACCUCCUUUCUAAGGA
Molecule: ribosomal RNA, 225 nt
Filed under: Bacillus paralicheniformis
Lineage: Bacteria; Bacillati; Bacillota; Bacilli; Caryophanales; Bacillaceae
Description: partial 16S ribosomal RNA
Rfam family: Bacterial small subunit ribosomal RNA
Source: RNAcentral